Molecule: ribosomal RNA, 250 nt
Filed under: uncultured bacterium
Lineage: Bacteria
Description: partial 16S ribosomal RNA
Rfam family: Bacterial small subunit ribosomal RNA
Source: RNAcentral
UACGUAGGGCGCAAGCGUUAUCCGGAUUUACUGGGUUUAAAGGGUGCGCAGGCGGACCGAAAAGUCGGCGAUGAAAUGUCGGGGCUCAACCCCGGCGCCGUCGCCGAUACUGCCGGCCUUGAAUGGGGUCGAGGCCACCGGAAUGGGCGGUGUAGCGGUGAUAUGCGUAGAGAUCGCCCGGAACGCCAAACGCGAAGGCAGGUGGCCAGGCCCUUAUUGACGCUCAGGCACGAAAGCGUGGGGAGCGAAC